Molecule: ribosomal RNA, 440 nt
Filed under: uncultured Armatimonadota bacterium
Lineage: Bacteria; Bacillati; Armatimonadota
Description: uncultured Armatimonadetes bacterium partial 16S ribosomal RNA
Rfam family: Bacterial small subunit ribosomal RNA
Source: RNAcentral
CCUACGGGAGGCAGCAGUAAGGAAUCUUGCGCAAUGGGCGAAAGCCUGACGCAGCGACGCCGCGUGGGCGAUGAAGGCCUUCGGGUUGUAAAGCCCUUUUCUGGGGGACGAGGAAGGACGGUACCCCAGGAAUAAGUCACGGCUAACUACGUGCCAGCAGCCGCGGUAAAACGUAGGUGGCAAGCGUUAUCCGGAAUCACUGGGCGUAAAGCGCGCGUAGGCGGGUUCUUAAGUCGGGGGUGAAAUCCCGAGGCUCAACCUCGGAACUGCCUCCGAAACUGGGAACCUUGAGGUAUGGAGAGGGAAGUGGAAUUCCUGGUGUAGCGGUGAAAUGCGUAGAUAUCAGGAGGAACACCCGUGGCGAAGGCGGCUCCCGGGCCAUCACCUGACGCUGAAGCGCGAAAGCGUGGGGAGCGAACGGGAUUAGAUCCCCUUGUAGU